AGGAUGAACGCUAGCGGCAGGCUUAACACAUGCAAGUCGCGGGGCAGCGCAGGUAGCAAUACUGGGCGGCGACCGGCAAACGGGUGCGGAACACGUACGCAAUCUACCCUUGUCUGGGGCAUAGCCCGAAGAAAUUCGGAUUAACUCCCCAUAAGAUAUUAAUGAGGCAUCUUAUAGAUAUUAAAUCUGAGGAGGACAGGGAUGAGCGUGCGUCCCAUUAGCUAGUUGGUAGGGUAACGGCCUACCAAGGCGACGAUGGGUA
RNAcentral lists this ribosomal RNA (262 nucleotides) under uncultured bacterium. Its description in RNAcentral is "partial small subunit ribosomal RNA". It matches the Rfam family "Bacterial small subunit ribosomal RNA", at positions 26 to 285 of the family's 1533-position model. The record is from RNAcentral.